GACGAACGCUGGCGGCGUGCUUAACACAUGCAAGUCGAACGGAAAGGCCCCUUUGGGGGUACUCGAGUGGCGAACGGGUGAGUAACACGUGAGUAACCUGCCCUUGACUUCGGGAUAACUUCAGGAAACUGGGGCUAAUCCCGGAUAGGAAUCCUUGCUGCCUGGUGGGUGUUGGAAAGCUUCGGCGGUUUGGGAUGGACUCGCGGCUUAUCAGCUUGUUGGUGGGGUAGUGGCUUACCAAGGCUUUCACGGGUAGCCGGCCUGAGAGGGCGACCGGCCACAUUGGGACUGAGAUACGGCCCAGACUCCUACGGGAGGCAGCAGUGGGGAAUAUUGCAAAAUGGGCGGAAGCCUGAUGCAGCAACGCCGCGUGCGGGAUGACGGCCUUCGGGUUGUAAACCGCUUUCAGCAGGGGCGAAGCUUGUGGUGACGGUACCUGCAGAAGAAGCACCGGCUAACUACGUG
Molecule: ribosomal RNA, 465 nt
Filed under: uncultured bacterium
Lineage: Bacteria
Description: partial 16S ribosomal RNA
Rfam family: Bacterial small subunit ribosomal RNA
Source: RNAcentral